This 254-nucleotide ribosomal RNA is filed under the name uncultured bacterium. RNAcentral's name for it is "partial 16S ribosomal RNA". It matches the Rfam family "Bacterial small subunit ribosomal RNA", at positions 524 to 776 of the family's 1533-position model. The record is from RNAcentral.
UACGGGGGGGGGCAAGCGUUGUUCGGAAUUACUGGGCGUAAAGGGCUCGUAGGCGGCCAACUAAGUCAGACGUGAAAUCCCUCGGCUUAACCGGGGAACUGCGUCUGAUACCGGAUGGCUUGAGGUUGGGAGAGGGAUGCGGAAUUCCAGGUGUAGCGGUGAAAUGCGUAGAUAUCUGGAGGAACACCGGUGGCGAAGGCGGCAUCCUGGACCAAUUCUGACGCUGAGGAGCGAAAGCCAGGGGAGCAAACGGG